RNAcentral lists this ribosomal RNA (775 nucleotides) under uncultured Neocallimastigales. RNAcentral's name for it is "partial large subunit ribosomal RNA". It matches the Rfam family "Eukaryotic large subunit ribosomal RNA", at positions 22 to 628 of the family's 3401-position model. Lineage: Eukaryota; Fungi; Neocallimastigomycota; Neocallimastigomycetes; Neocallimastigales. The record is from RNAcentral.
GUACACGCUGUGACUAGCAUAUCAAUAAGCGGAGGAAAAGAAACUAACAAGGAUUCCCCUAGUAACGGCGAGUGAAGCGGGAAGAGCUCAAAUUUGAAAUCUUAAAGGGUUUCCCUUUACGAAUUGUAGUUUAAAGAAGUGUUUUCUGUUGAGGUUUUGGUAAAAGUUCUUUGGAAUAGGGACAUCAUAGAGGGUGAGAAUCCCGUAUUUGACCUUUACUUUCAACUUUGUGAUACACUUUCAAAGAGUCGGAUUGUUUGGGAAUGCAGUCCAAAAUGGGUGGUAAAUUUCAUCUAAAGCUAAAUAUUGGCGAGAGACCGAUAGCGAACAAGUACCGUGAGGGAAAGAUGAAAAGAACUUUGAAAAGAGAGUUAAACAGUACGUGAAAUUGUCAAAAGGGAAGCGUUUGACACCAGUGUUGUUUUUCUGAAAAUCAAUUAAAGAACUGUUUAUGCUAAGUUGUUUAGACUUUAUCAGCUAACUGUUUAGUUUUGAGCUUUUCUUUAAUGCACUUUUCAGUUAACAAGUCAACAUCAAUUUCUUUUGCUGUAAAAAAGCUUGAGGAAGGUGGCUUGAGAUUCGUCUUAAGUGUUUAUAGCCUCUUGCCUAUGCAGUCGGAGGGAUUGAGGUCUGCAGCGUAGAUCCUUCGGGGCUAAAUGCAUUUGCGCUAAGUUAUAGCAUUUUAUAGACAACUUGUUGACUAUGAUUUGUCUUGUAGCUUACUCGCUUAUGUUAUUUUACCUACGCUUAGGAUGUUGAGUCGUAGAGCACGCAG